GGCCCUCGUCAUUUCGAGCUUUAGCUUGAUACAACCACAAUCACCCAAAUAAAAUUGGAUAUGACAAUAUAGAGCUUUGCAAUCAAAAAAUAAUAUAAUAAAUUUUGUAGAUAAUCUUUGCAAUUAUUGUAUCAAUAUUUCGUAAAAUAUCCAUAGGUUUAACUCGAUUGGAGUCAGCCAUUCUCAAAACUACUAUAGUAGGCAAUAAGUGAUCCAAAUCCAACUCCU
This 228-nucleotide long non-coding RNA is filed under the name Physcomitrium patens. Its description in RNAcentral is "long non-coding RNA (PPAT_LNC004660)". The record is from RNAcentral. Lineage: Eukaryota; Viridiplantae; Streptophyta; Bryopsida; Funariales; Funariaceae.